GUAUAUCUUUGAUGACUUCUUUCCCUGCCUGCAAACUGUAUUUAUUAAUGGCAGCUUUUUUUUUUCUCUGUAGGGUGGGUAGCUUGCAAAUAUAAAUGUGAGGAUUGAAAAAGGUUAGCAUAUAAUGGUGAGCCCAGAGGCCCAAAGAUCAAUAAAGAAAAGAAAAAAGAAGAGGCACUGUGAAUCUUGCAGCAACCUGUUUUCUGAGUGAUUUAUGUAUCCCAUGACUCCUGUGGAAAGCAAAGACAAUGUGCAGGACCCUAACAGCAUCUCUGCAAAUACAGCCGUUAUGUAAUGAAUGCCAACUUUAAAGAAAAAUUGCAGAAGACUGUGGUAGACUUCAUUGGUAUUAAUAAGUCAUCAAGGACAUGUAGCUCAAAUAUUGCAUAAAUAUGUGCAAUAUGCUUAAUAAGAGAGCUCAGAGCAAAGGCUUGAAUACAGCAUCUCAGCCUGUGGUGUAGUGUGAGCUGGAUUGUGUCUUGCAGGAAACUGUCCUUCACUGAAGAUACUGCUAUAGACUCCUAAGCACAUGUUUCCACCCAAAACAAAGGCAGCUCAGGAAUUUGAAUAUUGUGGGAAGACUGGCUUUGUCUGGGUAUUAUUUUGGGAAAGAAAUAUGUGUGGGUAGAUGAGAGGCAGUUCAGGUGGGAAGGAAGGAGAGAGCAUGUGGGAAACAGGCGGUGGUGCAGAGCUGCAGCACAGCCAAGUUGUGUGGAUGCCUGUCCUAGGAGAAGCCCGAGAGGCUAGAGAGCUAGCUGGGAAAGAUCUGCUGCUGUGAGAAGAAAAGUUUCCUCCAGUGGUUUGUGUCCUACUGUGUUAUGAGAGCAGACUCUAUGUUGUUCUACAUAAAAAGAGUUGCAUCA
Motacilla alba alba is the source of this 863-nucleotide long non-coding RNA. RefSeq lists it as uncharacterized. The transcript has 2 exons. The record is from RefSeq and is a predicted model, not a curated record. Lineage: Eukaryota; Metazoa; Chordata; Aves; Passeriformes; Motacillidae.